CGUAAUAGCUCACUGGUCGAGUCGGCCUGCGCGGAAGAUGUAACGGGGCUAAACCAUGCACCGAAGCUGCGGCAGCGACGCUGAUGCGUUGUUGGGUAGGGGAGCGUUCUGUAAGCCUGUGAAGGUGUGUCGUGAGGCAUGCUGGAGGUAUCAGAAGUGCGAAUGCUGACAUAAGUAACGAUAAAGCGGGUGAAAAGCCCGCUCGCCGGAAGAC
This 214-nucleotide ribosomal RNA is filed under the name Salmonella enterica subsp. enterica serovar Kentucky. Its description in RNAcentral is "partial 23S ribosomal RNA". It matches the Rfam family "Bacterial large subunit ribosomal RNA", at positions 1133 to 1345 of the family's 2925-position model. The record is from RNAcentral. Lineage: Bacteria; Pseudomonadati; Pseudomonadota; Gammaproteobacteria; Enterobacterales; Enterobacteriaceae.